AGUACGUGAAACUGCUUAGAGGUUAAGCCCGAUGAACCUGAAUAUCCAUUAUGGAAAAUUCAAUAUUAAGAAUAUAAUAUUAAUAAUAUUAUAUGAAUAACAUGCAAUUUUUCCAUAUAAGGACAUUGUAAUCUGUUAAUGUUAUAAAUAUUUAUCAAAAGAUCUAUUACUUAAGUUUAUUUAAAUUGUUUAUUUUCGGAUAUUCAACAUAAAAUAAAUGUUUUAGAUUAGAUAAAUCAUUGACAGAUAUAAUUAUAUAUUGUGCGCAAAUUUUUCGGAAUUUUACAAUAAUAAGUAGAUCUAUUGAUUUAUUUGUUUAUUGCCUGCACUUUUAUGAUUAACAAUGCGAUAGAUUCAGGAUACCUUCGGGACCCGUCUUGAAACACGGACCAAGGAGUCUAACAUAUGUGCAAGUCAUUGGGUAUUUUUAAUAAAACCCAAUGGCAUAAUUAACUUAACUGUUAUUUAUAAUGGGAUUAAUUUAUAUUUUGUUAUGAUUUAUUUAUUCAAUCCCGGGGCGUUCUAUACAGUUAUGCAUAAUAAUAUUUAUAUUAUUUAUGCCUCUAACUAGAGCGUACCUUGAGC
Molecule: ribosomal RNA, 585 nt
Filed under: Allograpta teligera
Lineage: Eukaryota; Metazoa; Arthropoda; Insecta; Diptera; Syrphidae
Description: eukaryotic LSU rRNA
Source: RNAcentral